This 421-nucleotide ribosomal RNA is filed under the name uncultured bacterium. Its description in RNAcentral is "bacterial SSU rRNA". It matches the Rfam family "Bacterial small subunit ribosomal RNA", at positions 355 to 774 of the family's 1533-position model. The record is from RNAcentral.
UGGGGAAUCUUGCACAAUGGGGGCAACCCUGAUGCAGCCAUGCCGCGUGGAGGAAGACACCCCUAUGGGGCGUAAACUCCUUUUCUGAGAGAAGAAACCCCUGUAGGUUCAGGGUGUGACGGUAUCUCAGGAAUAAGCACCGGCUAACUCCGUGCCAGCAGCCGCGGUAAUACGGAGGGUGCAAGCGUUGUCCGGAAUCACUGGGCGUAAAGGGUGCGCAGGCGGGGCAGCAAGUCGGAGGUGAAAGCCCAUGGCUCAACCAUGGAAGUGCCUUCGAAACUGUUGCUCUUGAGUCCCGGAGAGGCUGCCGGAAUUCGUGGUGUAGCGGUGAAAUGCGUAGAGAUCACGAGGAACACCAGAGGCGAAAGCGGGCAGCUGGACGGGUACUGACGCUCAGGCACGAAAGCGUGGGGAGCAAACA